ACACAGAGAGAGAGAGAGAGAGAGAGAGAGAGAGAGAGAGAGAGAGAAUAAAACGAGUCAAACGACUUGAUCUUUAACAUUUUGCAGCCAUACAGAGAGAGAGAUGAGCAGGGGAGGAGAAGGGAAGGUGGUGUGCGUGACAGGGGCGUCGGGUUUCAUAGCAUCGUGGCUGGUGAAGCUGUUGCUGGAUCGUGGUUACACCGUAAAUGGCACCGUUCGCAGCCUGGAUGAUCCAAAGAGGACAGAACACUUACUUUCACUUGAAGGAGCCAGGGAAAGACUGAAUCUAUUCGAAGCAAACUUAAUUGAAGACGGAUCUUUUGAUCUCGCCAUUGAUGGUUGUGUAGGAGUCUUCCAUACAGCUUCUCCAGUUUUUUUGUCUUCCAGCAACCCACAGGAAGAACUAAUUGACCCUGCAGUGAAGGGAACACUGAAUGUUCUUAGAUCAUGCGUGAAAGUUCCAUCCAUCAAAAGGGUGGUCAUAACAUCUUCUAUUGUCUCAGUUUUCAUCAAUAGGAUACCUCUGGACCCCAGUGUGAUAAUUGAUGAGACUUGGUAUUCCGAUCAAGAAUUUUGUAAGGAAUUCCAGCAUUGGUACCCACUUGCAAAAAUCUUGGCUGAGGAGGCUGGCUGGAAAUUUGCAAAGGAGAACGGAAUAGACUUGGUAACAUUGCAUCCAGGAUGGGUGAUUGGUCCUGUCUUGCAGCCAACUCUCAAUUACAGUACAGAAGUAAUUCUGAACGUCGUAAAAGAUGGAACUGAAGCCAUCCCAAAUAUAUAUCGAUGUGUUGAUGUUAGAGAUGUUGCUUAUGCACAUAUUUUAGCAUUUGAGAAUCCUUCAGCUAGUGGCCGGUACUGUUUAGUUGAGAAAGUAGCACACCGUUCUGAGGUUAUGAAGAUUAUACACAAACUUUAUCCUACUCUCAACCUUCCUAAAAGAAUUGAAGAUGAAAAGCCUGAUAGGGCACCUUACCAGGUGUCCAAGCAAAGAGCAGAGAGUUUAGGCUUGAAAUUCACUCCCCUUGAGGUUACUGUCAAGGACACUGUUGAAAGCUUCAAAGAGAAGAACUUGCUCAGUUUCUGAAUCCUAUAAUAUGUUCCACCAAGUGAUGCAUUUAUUUGUUUGACUAUGUAAUCUACUGAAAAUUAUUGUAUGAUUUUGGAGGCCAAUCCACGUAUGCAUUUAGGCAUUUAUGUUCAUUGUGAAUUGAACAAUCUCUUUUAACACUUCUAAGAUUGGAAGUGUUCUUUUUAAUUAGUCUGAAAAAAUAAAAGAUGAUGAUUGUAUUUA
This is an RNA transcript of Diospyros lotus (date-plum), 1291 nucleotides long. It is a transcript of the gene named phenylacetaldehyde reductase-like, with no coding region annotated. The record is from RefSeq and is a predicted model, not a curated record. NCBI's taxonomy places the organism in Eukaryota, Viridiplantae, Streptophyta, Magnoliopsida, Ericales, Ebenaceae. The transcript is spliced from 7 exons.